RNAcentral lists this ribosomal RNA (1509 nucleotides) under Serratia rubidaea. RNAcentral's name for it is "16S ribosomal RNA". It matches the Rfam family "Bacterial small subunit ribosomal RNA". The record is from RNAcentral. Lineage: Bacteria; Pseudomonadati; Pseudomonadota; Gammaproteobacteria; Enterobacterales; Yersiniaceae.
UGGCUCAGAUUGAACGCUGGCGGCAGGCCUAACACAUGCAAGUCGAGCGGCAGCGGGAGGAAGCUUGCUUCCUCGCCGGCGAGCGGCGGACGGGUGAGUAAUGUCUGGGGAUCUGCCCGAUGGAGGGGGAUAACCACUGGAAACGGUGGCUAAUACCGCAUAACGUCGCAAGACCAAAGUGGGGGACCUUCGGGCCUCACACCAUCGGAUGAACCCAGAUGGGAUUAGCUAGUAGGUGGGGUAAUGGCUCACCUAGGCGACGAUCCCUAGCUGGUCUGAGAGGAUGACCAGCCACACUGGAACUGAGACACGGUCCAGACUCCUACGGGAGGCAGCAGUGGGGAAUAUUGCACAAUGGGCGCAAGCCUGAUGCAGCCAUGCCGCGUGUGUGAAGAAGGCCUUCGGGUUGUAAAGCACUUUCAGCGAGGAGGAAGGUGGUGAACUUAAUACGNUCAUCAAUUGACGUUACUCGCAGAAGAAGCACCGGCUAACUCCGUGCCAGCAGCCGCGGUAAUACGGAGGGUGCAAGCGUUAAUCGGAAUUACUGGGCGUAAAGCGCACGCAGGCGGUUUGUUAAGUCAGAUGUGAAAUCCCCGAGCUUAACUUGGGAACUGCAUUUGAAACUGGCAAGCUAGAGUCUCGUAGAGGGGGGUAGAAUUCCAGGUGUAGCGGUGAAAUGCGUAGAGAUCUGGAGGAAUACCGGUGGCGAAGGCGGCCCCCUGGACGAAGACUGACGCUCAGGUGCGAAAGCGUGGGGAGCAAACAGGAUUAGAUACCCUGGUAGUCCACGCUGUAAACGAUGUCGAUUUGGAGGUUGUGCCCUUGAGGCGUGGCUUCCGGAGCUAACGCGUUAAAUCGACCGCCUGGGGAGUACGGCCGCAAGGUUAAAACUCAAAUGAAUUGACGGGGGCCCGCACAAGCGGUGGAGCAUGUGGUUUAAUUCGAUGCAACGCGAAGAACCUUACCUACUCUUGACAUCCAGAGAACUUUCCAGAGAUGGAUUGGUGCCUUCGGGAACUCUGAGACAGGUGCUGCAUGGCUGUCGUCAGCUCGUGUUGUGAAAUGUUGGGUUAAGUCCCGCAACGAGCGCAACCCUUAUCCUUUGUUGCCAGCGGUUCGGCCGGGAACUCAAAGGAGACUGCCAGUGAUAAACUGGAGGAAGGUGGGGAUGACGUCAAGUCAUCAUGGCCCUUACGAGUAGGGCUACACACGUGCUACAAUGGCGUAUACAAAGAGAAGCGAACCUGCGAAGGCAAGCGGACCUCAUAAAGUACGUCGUAGUCCGGAUUGGAGUCUGCAACUCGACUCCAUGAAGUCGGAAUCGCUAGUAAUCGUAGAUCAGAAUGCUACGGUGAAUACGUUCCCGGGCCUUGUACACACCGCCCGUCACACCAUGGGAGUGGGUUGCAAAAGAAGUAGGUAGCUUAACCUUCGGGAGGGCGCUUACCACUUUGUGAUUCAUGACUGGGGUGAAGUCGUAACAAGGUAACCGUAGGGGAACCUGCGGCU